GCCGAAGUGGCGGAACUGGCAGACGCGCGCGACUCAAACUCGCGUGCCCGUAAGGGCUUGUGGGUUCGAUUCCCACCUUCGGCA
Molecule: transfer RNA, 84 nt
Filed under: Anaerolineales bacterium
Lineage: Bacteria; Bacillati; Chloroflexota; Anaerolineae; Anaerolineales
Description: tRNA-Leu
Rfam family: tRNA
About the family: Transfer RNA (tRNA) molecules are approximately 80 nucleotides in length. Their secondary structure includes four short double-helical elements and three loops (D, anti-codon, and T loops). Further hydrogen bonds mediate the characteristic L-shaped molecular structure. tRNAs have two regions of fundamental functional importance: the anti-codon, which is responsible for specific mRNA codon recognition, and the 3' end, to which the tRNAs corresponding amino acid is attached (by aminoacyl-tRNA synthetases). tRNAs cope with the degeneracy of the genetic code in two manners: having more than one tRNA (with a specific anti-codon) for a particular amino acid; and 'wobble' base-pairing, i.e. permitting non-standard base-pairing at the 3rd anti-codon position.
Source: RNAcentral